RNAcentral lists this signal recognition particle RNA (263 nucleotides) under Chloroflexota bacterium. RNAcentral describes it as "signal recognition particle sRNA large type". It matches the Rfam family "Bacterial large signal recognition particle RNA". Rfam says of the family: The signal recognition particle (SRP) is a universally conserved ribonucleoprotein involved in the co-translational targeting of proteins to membranes. Archaeal SRP consists of a 7S RNA and homologues of the eukaryotic SRP19 and SRP54 proteins. The record is from RNAcentral. Lineage: Bacteria; Bacillati; Chloroflexota.
UCGUGCUAGACGGGGAACUAGCGGUGCCCUGCACCCGCAAUCCGCUCAGCGGGGUUGAAUUCCCCUUCUCGGUCCGGCCCUUUGGGACUGGGCCCGACAAGCAGCGUUGAUAGUCGGGUCCCGCACGGCGAAAACCUGUGAACCCCGCCAGGUCCGGGAGGAAGCAACGGUAAGCGGGCACUUUCGGGUGUUGCGGGGCGGCCUGGCUGGAGCCGGCUAUCGGGUACUAAGCUGGAGGGUCGUGGCCAAAAAGGGGUGCACGG